GAGAGGUGUCCGAGUGGUCGAAGGUGCCUGACUCGAAAUCAGGUGUGGCUAAUAACCACCGGGGGUUCGAAUCCCCCUCUCUCC
Molecule: transfer RNA, 84 nt
Filed under: uncultured Anaerovibrio sp.
Lineage: Bacteria; Bacillati; Bacillota; Negativicutes; Selenomonadales; Selenomonadaceae
Rfam family: tRNA
About the family: Transfer RNA (tRNA) molecules are approximately 80 nucleotides in length. Their secondary structure includes four short double-helical elements and three loops (D, anti-codon, and T loops). Further hydrogen bonds mediate the characteristic L-shaped molecular structure. tRNAs have two regions of fundamental functional importance: the anti-codon, which is responsible for specific mRNA codon recognition, and the 3' end, to which the tRNAs corresponding amino acid is attached (by aminoacyl-tRNA synthetases). tRNAs cope with the degeneracy of the genetic code in two manners: having more than one tRNA (with a specific anti-codon) for a particular amino acid; and 'wobble' base-pairing, i.e. permitting non-standard base-pairing at the 3rd anti-codon position.
Source: RNAcentral